ACUGGAGGCCCGAACCAGGGCACGUUGAAAAGUGCUUGGAUGACUUGUGGGUAGCGGAGAAAUUCCAAACGAACUUGGAGAUAGCUGGUUCUCUCCGAAAUAGCUUUAGGGCUAGCGUCGAAUGAUGACUCUUGGAGGUAGAGCACUGUUUGAUUGAGGGGUCCAUCCCGGAUUACCAAUAUCAGAUAAACUCCGAAUGCCAAGCAGUUAGUAUCGGCAGUCAGACUGCGAGUGCUAAGAUCCGUAGUCGAAAGGGAAACAGCCCAGACCACCAGCUAAGGUCCCCAAAUAAUUGUUAAGUGGAAAAGGAUGUGGGGUUGCACAGACAACUAGGAUGUUAGCUUAGAAGCAGCUAUUCAUUCAAAGAGUGCGUAAUAGCUCACUAGUCGAGUGACCCUGCGCCGAAAAUGUACCGGGGCUAAAACAAUUUACCGAAGCUGUGGAUUACCUUUUAGGUAAUGGUAGGAGAGCGUUCUAUGUGCAGAGAAGGUGUACCGCAAGGAGCACUGGAGUGCAUAGAAGUGAGAAUGCCGGUAUGAGUAGCGCAAGAUGGGUGAGAAUCCCAUCCACCGUAAGACUAAGGAUUCCAGGGGAAGGCUCGUCCGCCCUGGGUUAGUCGGGACCUAAGGAGAGACCGACAGGUGUAUCCGAUGGGCAACAGGUUGAUAUUCCUGUACUAGAGUAUAGAGUGAUGGAGGGACGCAGAAGGCUAGCUCAGCCGGACGAUUGGAAGAGUCCGGCCAAGCAGUGAGGCGUGGAUUGAGUCAAAUGCUUAGUCCUUUAACGCUGAGCUGUGAAGGGGAGCGAAGUUUAGUAGCGAAGUGAGCGAUGUCACGCUGCCAAGAAAAGCUUCUAACGUAAAUGUAUACUCUACCCGUACCGCAAACCGACACAGGUAGUCGAGGCGAGUAGCCUCAGGUGAUCGAGAGAACUCUCGUUAAGGAACUCGGCAAAAUGGCCCCGUAACUUCGGGAGAAGGGGCGCUGACUGAGAGGUCAGCCGCAGUGAAAAGGCCCAAGCAACUGUUUAUCAAAAACACAGCUCUCUGCAAAAUCGUAAGAUGACGUAUAGGGGGUGACGCCUGCCCGGUGCUGGAAGGUUAAGAGGAGUGCUUAGACGUUAGUCGAAGGUAUGAAUUGAAGCCCCAGUAAACGGCGGCCGUAACUAUAACGGUCCUAAGGUAGCGAAAUUCCUUGUCGGGUAAGUUCCGACCCGCACGAAAGGCGUAAUGAUUUGGGCACUGUCUCAACGAGAGACUCGGUGAAAUUUUAGUACCUGUGAAGAUGCAGGUUACCCGCGACAGGACGGAAAGACCCCAUGGAGCUUUACUGCAGUUUGAUAUUGCGUAUCUGUGACACAUGUACAGGAUAGGUAGGAGCCAA
This 1382-nucleotide ribosomal RNA is filed under the name Streptococcus devriesei DSM 19639. RNAcentral describes it as "bacterial LSU rRNA". It matches the Rfam family "Bacterial large subunit ribosomal RNA", at positions 765 to 2157 of the family's 2925-position model. Lineage: Bacteria; Bacillati; Bacillota; Bacilli; Lactobacillales; Streptococcaceae. The record is from RNAcentral.